This 253-nucleotide ribosomal RNA is filed under the name uncultured bacterium. RNAcentral's name for it is "partial 16S ribosomal RNA". It matches the Rfam family "Bacterial small subunit ribosomal RNA", at positions 524 to 776 of the family's 1533-position model. The record is from RNAcentral.
UACAGAGGGUGCGAGCGUUAAUCGGAAUUACUGGGCGUAAAGCGCACGUAGUCGGCUUUGCAAGUCGGUUGUGAAAUCCCCGGGCUCAACCUGGGAACUGCAUCCGAGACUGCAUAGCUAGAGUAUGGGAGAGGAAAGCGGAAUUUCUGGUGUAGCAGUGAAAUGCGUAGAUAUCAGAAGGAACAUCAGUGGCGAAGGCGGCUUUCUGGACCAAUACUGACGAUCAGGUGCGAAAGCGUGGGGAGCAAACAGG